Molecule: long non-coding RNA, 453 nt
Organism: Hemicordylus capensis (graceful crag lizard)
Lineage: Eukaryota; Metazoa; Chordata; Lepidosauria; Squamata; Cordylidae
Exons: 3
Source: RefSeq, a predicted model, not a curated record
AGUGCACACUCUGUGAGCGCCCAUGGCCUUCCCUCCUCCUCUUCCUGUGAUUAGUAGACACGUUGAUUAGUAGACUUUGUGAUUAGUAGACAUGGAGGCAUCUCACUUUUGCAUUGGGAGCAGCAGCGGGGGUGUGAGUAGAAUGGAUUUCGUGGAGUCAUGGAGAGGUGAACUGCAGCUGUUGACUUGAGACGACCCUCUUGCUAAAAAACAGUUUGCUUCAGAAGAACCUCAAGACUCUCCUGUUUUCUCAGGCUUCUAAUUAGAAUUAAUUUUAAUAAUUUUAAAAACUUGUUUUAAUAAUUAUUUUAUUCUAUUUCUUUUAUUGUCAUGUAUUUUAAUUUGUGACUUUUAAAUAUUUUAAAUUGUAUACACCACCUAGAGAUGUACAUAUCAGGCAGUAUAAAAAUAUGAUAAAUAAAUAAAAUAAAUAAAUUCCCCUAGACACUUCUA